AUUGUAAGCUUUUCCUGCACAAUGAGAAUUUAAAUAGCCGCAGUACUUUGACUGUGCUAAGGUAGCAUAAUCAUUUGGUCUUUAAUUGGGAUCUGGAAUGAAGGGAGCAACGUGAGAGAUUCUGUCUCUUUUAUAAUAAUCUUAACUUACUAAAAAGGUGAAAAUUCCUUUAUAAAAAGACGAGAAGACCCUUAGACUUUAGGCUAUAUAGAUCUGAUCUAAUCUCUUUUGUUGGGGCGACACAGAAACAUACUGUAAUAGAACUAAACUAAAAAAUAAAGUACCUAAGGGAUAACAGCAUAAUUAAUUUAUUAGAUUGUGACCUCGAUGUUGGACUAGGAAAAAAUUUUUUAGAUAAAAAUUUUAAUAAGUUCUGUUCGAACUAUAAUCUCCU
This 394-nucleotide ribosomal RNA is filed under the name Bostryx primigenius. Its description in RNAcentral is "partial 16S ribosomal RNA". It matches the Rfam family "Archaeal large subunit ribosomal RNA", at positions 1937 to 2666 of the family's 2987-position model. Lineage: Eukaryota; Metazoa; Mollusca; Gastropoda; Stylommatophora; Orthalicidae. The record is from RNAcentral.